RNAcentral lists this microRNA precursor (124 nucleotides) under Hordeum vulgare. Its description in RNAcentral is "microRNA MIR1122". It matches the Rfam family "MIR1120/MIR1122 microRNA precursor family". The record is from RNAcentral. Lineage: Eukaryota; Viridiplantae; Streptophyta; Magnoliopsida; Poales; Poaceae.
CACAUACUACCUCCGUCCGAAAAUACUUGUCCUAGAGAUGAAUGUAUCUAGACUUAUUUUAAUUGUAGAUACAUCCAUUAUAUGCAUUUUUAGGACAAGUAUUUCCGGACGGAGGGAGUAUGUU